CUUCCCCCCCCCCCCCCCUUCUCCUCUCUCUCUCUUUCUGUGCGACUCCCCCCCGACUCACCUUCUGUUCCUCACAACUCACAAGUCCAAUCCGUUCGAAUCUUAUUUCCUCACAAUUUCGCAAACCUUAGGCGCCAUGUCGAGCUUUUCGUGCUGUCCGCCGUUCGAUUCGAGUCAUACGGCGUCUUGUGGAGCUUUCAAGUUUCAAGCUGACCUUUCCUCCCGGGGGCUCUUCUCAUCCACCGUCAUUUCCUCAACUCCGGUUCAUGUACACUUCGAAAUUGGUGUUACCAUGGGUGUGAUAACUUGCCUAGGCCAUAUUGCUGCUGAUAGUGCACACAGUUAUUGUCUCUGUUGUGUAUCCUUCACAAUUAUUGCAUAUCCUUGUGCAGAUAAUUGGAGCAUGUCUUGUGACUAAAAGUGGAUCCCACGUUCAGGCUCAUGCCUCUUUAAUACUGUUAGCCUUAAUCAACAAAGUAUGUGGUUAUAUUAGUUUUCUUCUACUAUUGGAAAAUGCAAUGUCAACAGAAAAGAAAUUAAUGUGCUCGUUUAAUUUGCAUGCUAACAAAAAUUACCAGAAAAUUUGCAGAAAAAGAGAUUAGUGACUGCAUGUGAAGAUUGUCAACAUUAAAGUUGCUCUUUCGGUUGUUGACUGCAGCUGUUACUGUUAGGAUUUACUAUUAGAUUGGUUUGAGUUGUUUUUGGAUUUGUUUAUAUAUAUAUAUAUAUAUUCUACGUGCACUUGUAAGAGUUUAUUGUUGGACUUGUCAUCAUUUAUAAUGUCUACAGCCAUGUUUUUUAAUAGCUUGACUUGUUGGGGUUGACAUGCUUAUAUACUUCCUGCAUCUUUUCUUGA
This is a long non-coding RNA of Carya illinoinensis, 856 nucleotides long. RefSeq lists it as uncharacterized. Lineage: Eukaryota; Viridiplantae; Streptophyta; Magnoliopsida; Fagales; Juglandaceae. The transcript is spliced from 3 exons. The record is from RefSeq and is a predicted model, not a curated record.